This is a long non-coding RNA of Pseudophryne corroboree (corroboree frog), 2940 nucleotides long. RefSeq lists it as uncharacterized. Lineage: Eukaryota; Metazoa; Chordata; Amphibia; Anura; Myobatrachidae. The record is from RefSeq and is a predicted model, not a curated record. The transcript has 3 exons.
GUUCCCGAGAGAGGAGUAGAGCCGUGUGUUGAUAAUAAAUUCUAUUAUUUCUGAUGUCACUAUAGAAUGCAGCACAUUUAAAAUAAGAAGCUCGGAUUAUCAGAGCCUCAACACAUCAAAUUUUGAAGCACAAUGCUGCGGCUAUUCAUAAUUUCAGUCACUGCUUUCAGACUCUGUUCUUUUCAGCCUAGUGGCUGUGAAUGUGAUUACAACGAGAAUGGAUGCUUCAUCCUGACACCAGCGCCACCUCAUUCAGCCUGCAAAUGCAUUAAGCAGUUUACUGAAACAUGUUUGGGUAUGCCAGCGCGCUGCCUACAAGCUGAUUCACCACUAUGCGCUCAACCAGACACAACUAUGGGAAGCUGUAUUCUAGGUGGAGGGGAUUGUAAGGGUUAUUUAAACAGCUGUGACUGUAAAUUGAUUUCUCUCUUCAGUUGCAAAAUAACAACCCCUCCCCCACCAAAUACAGCCUGCAAUUGCUACUUCAAAUAUCCCUUUUACUGUGCGGGCAAAAUUGUGCCAUGUAAGGAUUCAAAUUCUGAAGAGUGUAAAACCCCAACACUAAACGAGGCAACCUGCAGACAAGGUGGGGGAUACUGCGGAAGCCUUCCUCAAGCUUAAGUUUGGUCUAUUUGCAGACAAUUUCCCCUGGAUGGUGUUGGUAAUCCACUUCCCUUAAGCUGGGUACACACUACAGUGAUGUCCAGACAAUAUGCCAUUCCGUAACGACAUAUUACCUACAUCGCUCAGAGUGUACAGGGGAUUGCACACUCCCGCGGGCGCUAGCGAUGGCCAUUUGGUUCUAUGUGCUGCACAUAAAACCAAGCGUUAACGCUAGCGUCCUGUAUUAUGCUCUGAAGAACGGAAGAUGGUUGUUUCCGACCUUCAUGUACACACAAUCUAGGGCUGACAGGGAUUUGUUCCGAUGUCGGAACUAAUCCCUGUCGCUCUAGUGUGUAUCCACCUUUAAGGCCCGUACACACUGGACGAUAUAUCGUCCGUUCUCCUGAACGGCCGAUAUAUCGUGGGUCCAUCGGCCAGUGUGUACGGCCGAUACAUCUGUGAACUCCGUCGUUCACAGACGUAUCGCGUCGGCCCCGUAGCACAGCCGACGGCCAAUAUAUCUACCGAUAUAUUGGCGUGUCGCUGUGUGUGUACGGGUGGUCGGCCGACCGCCCGUACACAUGCUGCGGCGGCCGGCGGUGAUUGACAGCUAAACUGGGCGGGCGUGUGUACACGCCCGCCCAGUUCAUGACGUCAGUCCCCGACGGAUCGGCCAGUGUGUAUGCUCAACACACUGCCCAAUCCGUCCAUAGAUAUAUCUGCCGAUCAAUUGAUCGCCAGAUAUAUCUUCCAGUGAGUACCCACCUUUAGUCUACCUAUGUCUCUGGACAGACCAUAAUAGUUUUAAUAGUCUCUGCUUACAAUUCUAAAUGUAGCAAUGAAGAUUAGAUGACACUGUUGGGGGGAGGGGUGUGCCAGCAGUCUGCACCACUCCAGGGCUUAAUCUGUAGAUUUAGGAGUCUAUUCAUGAAGCAGUGAAAAGCGUGGAGAUGUGAGCCUGGGAAGAAGUUGCCCAUGGCAACCAAUCAGCUGCAUCGUACAAUUGUAUAGUAUGCAAAUUAUAAAUGUUACUUCAUUGCUGACUGGUUGCCAUGGACAACUUCUCCACUGACUCACUUCUCCACACUUUUCACUGCUUCAUGAACAGACCCCUUAAUAGGCUAAGCAAGUUUUUUGUGAGAGCAACUACUCUACAACGACAAGACCGAUUUUGAUGGUUCAGGUGUCAUUCAAUAGAAUGUGUGAUGUAGACAUGCAAUUAGGUCACAGAAAUGUGAUAAGUGGUCAGAUUGUUGAGGAAUAACCCAUCCAUGUCGUGAUUUUGUCCCAUAGAAAAAGCAUUGAGUGAGGAGCGAAAGCUUUUUCCUUUGGGUUGUAAAUUGCAGCAAAGCCCAUGCCAAUGUCUGCCCUAAAUUCAGUUGAUAUAAUUGUCGAGAUUCAAUUGUUGUUCUGCCGAAAGCCACUAGAUGGUGCCCGAGCAGAGCUGUUCAAUUGUAGCUCCAUUAGGGCACGAUGGAUGCCGGCGCCUGCAUUUCAGCUCCCACCCCCCUGACAGUGGUCCUCAGAUGAGAGGGUCAUUUACUAUGCAGGACUCAUCAGGAGGGAUGUAAUUGAUUUGCCAGCGGUUUGGAUCUUGGUGGUUUAGGAUACCGACACCAGAAUCCCGACCGUUGACAAUGCCGUCAGCUGGAAUGCUGGCUAACAGGGUCUAUUUCCACUCGUGGGUGUCCAUAGAUUGGGAACAGAACCCGUGGUGAGCAUGCGAGUGGCUUUGUUGCACUCACUCACUCCCCCCCCCCCCCCUCCCCCUCCCCGGCGUCCGGGAUCCCAACUGCCGGCAUUACAUACCCAACCCCUUCAGGAUAUUAUGGAACUAUGUUAAAUUAAGAAAGUCAAAGUGUCCUUUGAUUGGUUUCCAUGGGCAACACCACCGCUUGUCUGUUUUAGAAGCUAUAGUAAAUCUACCCCUACAUACUGUACGCUAUACUACCUAACAGAGAAGUCUUGAAUCAGAAGUCAGCAUCACUAUGGUCUAUUGAACUUAUUUCCAUUAUGUAUAGAACAAAGAACUCUGUUCAAAAUAUAAGUUCAGCCCCAUCAGCGUUGUGGUUGUUAUAGUUUUAGCUUACAUAAUCAUAAAUAAAGUGGUUUGGCAUUGGAUUAUGUUUGCUUUAUCAAUCAGAAAUGUCAUAUUUCAUCCUAAAUUCCAUGAAACCUUUGAUAGCGGUGUAAGUCACGAUUGCUUUGGAAUAUUUGGUGUGUGAUUUUCAACUAAUUCUCAAUAAAAUUGUCUGCUUGCAUCCCACACUAGAGGCUGGUUAUCUACAUACAUUUAGAUGUUGGGUUGAGUUUCUGUUUUGUCUUGUGAAUAGGGCU